Apodemus sylvaticus (European woodmouse) is the source of this 2779-nucleotide long non-coding RNA. RefSeq lists it as uncharacterized. NCBI's taxonomy places the organism in Eukaryota, Metazoa, Chordata, Mammalia, Rodentia, Muridae. The transcript has 3 exons. The record is from RefSeq and is a predicted model, not a curated record.
GCCUGGGCCGCAAGGGAGUCAACCGUGGCUGCAGGAGACAGAUAAGGUUGGGGGAGAAAGACUCCUAGUCACAGAGCAGCUGACGGGGGAGCGUGGGGAUUAGGGCUCCAAGGGCUUGUCUUAUGAGUGGAAACCCAGAAAGAGGAAAGCUGGAGGAAAGAAGAGAAAGCCCCUAUUUAAGGGAACCCUUCUGCCCUUGGGAAGGAUAAGAAAGCCGUCCUUCCCCGCCUGCGGCCACUGGCCCCAUCAUUCAGCCUAGAGGACUAGAAGCAGGUACUAUCUAAAGCAAGCCCAAGUGGCUGGACCCAAGCAGGCUUCAGAGGAGUAGGACAGUGUGGAAGAGUCCUCGUGUGGAAGGAUGUCUCCCAGCCAAAGAAAAGCCAUAUCUGUGGCCGUCCUGACAGGCCUAGCAAUCCAUUCUAGCCACUGAAACUGUCCCUGCCCCAUGGGGCUUAGCAACCCUUGUGAAUUUGUGUCCUAUCUGGCUGUGUCCUACAGGCCCCCAGUCACACUCCUCAGCAGCCUGUGUCAGCCUGGUGCCUGUGGUUCUUACCUGUCACAGGUUUCUAGGAACUGAGAAAGGAGCCCGCCACUACAGUGUCUUCCCUGAGGGAGUCCAGCCAAUGAGAGUCAGGAAGAGCUGCCCGCAUCAAGAGAUAGGACCUGUUGGCUGAGUGUCUGGCUCCUGAGAACAGCUGAUGGAGAUAAAUGGCCCUUGUCCCAGGAACCUUUCAGAAAGCUAUAAAAAGUGACUUGACCGGGAUCGGAGAUGGCCUGUCCUGCCUGUACUCUAUUGAGCUCCCUUGACACUGAGGGCAACACCCUGCAUAUCCUGGUGAUGGAGACAAAAGGCAAGAAUGGGACCAAGAAGAGAAGAGGUGGGAAGAGCCACUGGGAGGAGGGUGCGGCCCCGCCAGGCCCUUCCUCUUACCAUCCCUUCUUCCUCACAAGUUUGUCAUCCCAUCCUCUGAAGGAUCUAGAGGGAGCUCCACAGACCCCAGCCAGCACCUGACUGAUAGCCACUUGUAUCAUUACAGUAUUGUGCGUGAUUGUUUUUUUCUUUGUUGUUGUUGUUGUUGUUGUUGUUGCUGUGACCAAAGACCCAACAAGAGUAACUUAAAAGUGCCUUUGGCGCAUGGGUUUAAGGAUACGGGCCAUCAUGAUGUGGCGGCAGAAUGGCAUGGAUGGUCGCAUUAUAUUUGCAGCCAGGAGGCAGAUGAAUGUUGUCUUCUGCCUGCUUUCUCCUCUGUAUCGGGUUCAGGCCCCAGCCCAGGGAAUGGCGUCACCUACCUUGGGGACAAUCUCUCUUAUCUCCAAGGAGACGCUGUCUGGAGUAUCACAGACACCCCAGAGGCUUCCCUCCCAGGGGAUUCUACAUCUCCUCAAGCUGACAAUGAAGAUGAAUUAUCCUGAGCCAGGAGACUGCUCAGUCUGAAAAACACCUGUCACACAAACGCAAGGAUCUGAGUUCGGAUCCCCAGCACCCACACAAAAAGCCUGGCCCAGUGGCGGGUGUUUGUGACUCUCCGCAGAGAGCAUGGGAAGAGCUGGAUGCCUGAAGCUCACAGGUCAGCCACCACACUGAACUGAUAAGCUUGAGGUUUAGCGAGAGAGCCUAUCUCAAAAAAGAAGGUGGCCUUAGACACUGUUGUGUUGCUAUGAAAAGACAGCAUGGUCACAGCAACGCUAAAAAAAAAAAAAACACUUAAUUAAAUGCGGAUGGUUUAUGGUUUCAGAAGUUCAGUCUAUUAUCCUCAUGGUGGGACACAUGACAGCACGCAGGCAGACAUGGAAGGCAAGACUUCUAUAUCCAGUCCCAGUGGCAACAGGAAGAGAGAGAAAGUACCAGGUCUGGACCCAUGAAAACCCCAAAGUCCACCCCCAGUAACAUACUUCCUCCAACAAGGUCACACCUCCUGAUUCACACCAUAAUGAACAAACAUUUAGAUAUAGGAGUCAAUGAGGGGUCUUUCCUAUUCAAGCCACUACAAAGCUCUUUUCAUUCUGGUCUCUCCAGGCACAGUCCUGCUGCAGCCUGCCCUGGAGCUCCCCUCCCCCACCCUGCCUCCAUUCUCUGAGAACUCCACCUUUUGGUGCAGACCCAGGAUCCUCUGGUCUUUCAGCCUUCCCUUCUAGCCAUUUGCAUUCUUUGUGACAGUCAACCCUCAGAAACGCUCUAUCAGGGACCCCAGUGGGUCCCCUGCGUUGAAUGCAGAUCAGAGCCCUCCUCAGCCCACACUACAGAAGCUUCUUACCUAGGUGGGAACUCACACAGGGAACCACACCUGGACCGCAUGCAGAGAGGGAGAGACCUUGGAGCGCUCUAUCCUAAAUGCGAUGGGGUGUCUCCAGCCAAGCCCCCCUUCCCCUCAAGCCUUAGGGAAUCUAUUCAGAAUAGGAGUAAGAAAGAUGCAAAAGCCAGGGGUAGCUCCUAGCUCCAAUGAAACUUCAGAGCUGAUGCACCUAAGGCUGUGGCAGGAUGCAGCAGGCAGACCUGCUCGCUCAGGUCCCAGCUAGACGUGCCCAGCACUGAGAGCAGUGGGCACUGUAUCCCAUGCCUGCUCAGAGAAGCUCCCCACAGCUGAUACCCACCGGCAAAGAUAAAAUCACUUUUCUCCAAUGAGUGGCACCAGUAUAUCAACCAUGCCUGACGGCAGACCCCAUGCCCAAAAGUCCUUGACCAACACCAGACCAACUCAGUGGCAUUUCUGUGGACUGGUUUGUUUUGUUUUGACAUUUUCUGUCUUUUUGGUUUUUUGCAUCUUUGUUUUGAUUUUUA